GGGCUGGUGUACAGGUGGUGCAUGGUUGUCGUCAGCUCGUGUCGUGAGAUGUUGGGUUAAGUCCCGCAACGAGCGCAACCCUCGUUCUAUGUUGCCAGCACGUGAUGGUGGGAACUCAUAGGAGACUGCCGGGGUCAACUCGGAGGAAGGUGGGGAUGACGUCAAAUCAUCAUGCCCUUUAUGUCUUGGGCUUCACGCAUGCUACAAUGGUCGGUACAGAGGGUUGCGAAGCCGUGAGGCGGAGCGAAUCUCAGAAAGCCGGUCUCAGUUCGGAUCGUAGUCUGCAACUCGACUACGUGAAGUCGGAGUCGCUAGUAAUCGCAGAUCAGCAACGCUGCGGUGAAUACGUUCCCGGGCCUUGUACACACCGCCCGUCAAGUCACGAAAGUCGGUAACACCCGAAGCCGGUGGCCUAACCCUAGUGGGGGGAGCCGUCGAAGGUGG
This 444-nucleotide ribosomal RNA is filed under the name Brevibacterium sp. m8-6. Its description in RNAcentral is "bacterial SSU rRNA". It matches the Rfam family "Bacterial small subunit ribosomal RNA", at positions 1024 to 1465 of the family's 1533-position model. The record is from RNAcentral. Lineage: Bacteria; Bacillati; Actinomycetota; Actinomycetes; Micrococcales; Brevibacteriaceae.